AGCGAACGCUGGCGGCAGGCCUAACACAUGCAAGUCGAACGAACCUUUCGGGGUUAGUGGCGGACGGGUGAGUAACACGUGGGAACGUGCCUUUAGGUUCGGAAUAACUCAGGGAAACUUGUGCUAAUACCGAAUGUGCCCUUCGGGGGAAAGAUUUAUCGCCUUUAGAGCGGCCCGCGUCUGAUUAGCUAGUUGGUUGAGGUAAUGGCUCACCAAGGCGACGAUUAGUAGCUGGUCUGAGAGGAUGAUCAGCCACAUUGGGACUGAGACACGGCCCAAACUCUUACGGGAGGCAGCAGUGGGGAAUCUUGCGCAAUGGGCGAAAGCCUGACGCAGCCAUGCCGCGUGAAUGAUGAAGGUCUUAGGAUUGUAAAAUUCUUUCACCGGGGACGAUAAUGACGGUACCCGGAGAAGAAGCCCCGGCUAACUUCGUG
Molecule: ribosomal RNA, 434 nt
Filed under: uncultured bacterium
Lineage: Bacteria
Description: partial 16S ribosomal RNA
Rfam family: Bacterial small subunit ribosomal RNA
Source: RNAcentral